AGUGAACGCUGGCGGUAGGCCUAACACAUGCAAGUCGAACGGCAGCACAGUAAGAGCUUGCUCUUACGGGUGGCGAGUGGCGGACGGGUGAGGAAUACAUCGGAAUCUACUUUUUCGUGGGGGAUAACGUAGGGAAACUUACGCUAAUACCGCAUACGACCUACGGGUGAAAGCAGGGGAUCUUCGGACCUUGCGCGAUUGAAUUAGCCGAUGUCGGAUUAGCUAGUUGGCGGGGUAAAGGCCCACCAAGGCGACGAUCCGUAGCUGGUCUGAGAGGAUGAUCAGCCACACUGGAACGGAGCCACGGUCCAGACUCCUACGGGAGGCAGCAGUGGGGAAUAUUGGACAAUGGGCGCAAGCCUGAUCCAGCCAUACCGCGUGGGUGAAGAAGGCCUUCGGGUUGUAAAGCCCUUUUGUUGGGAAAGAAAAGCAGCAGGUUAAUACCCCGCUGUUCUGACGGUACCCAAAGAAUAAGCACCGGCUAACUUCGUG
RNAcentral lists this ribosomal RNA (492 nucleotides) under uncultured bacterium. RNAcentral describes it as "partial 16S ribosomal RNA". It matches the Rfam family "Bacterial small subunit ribosomal RNA", at positions 29 to 507 of the family's 1533-position model. The record is from RNAcentral.